This 236-nucleotide ribosomal RNA is filed under the name uncultured Lactococcus sp. RNAcentral describes it as "partial 16S ribosomal RNA". It matches the Rfam family "Bacterial small subunit ribosomal RNA", at positions 278 to 521 of the family's 1533-position model. Lineage: Bacteria; Bacillati; Bacillota; Bacilli; Lactobacillales; Streptococcaceae. The record is from RNAcentral.
UAGCCCCGCCCGCGCGGCGGGCGGGGCGGGGGCACGGGGGGACUCCUACGGGAGGCAGCAGUAGGGAAUCUUCGGCAAUGGACGAAAGUCUGACCGAGCAACGCCGCGUGAGUGAAGAAGGUUUUCGGAUCGUAAAACUCUGUUGUUAGAGAAGAACGACGAGGAGAGUGGAAAGCUCCUCGUGUGACGGUAUCUAACCAGAAAGGGACGGCUAACUACGUGCCAGCAGCCGAAUC